Molecule: ribosomal RNA, 235 nt
Filed under: uncultured euryarchaeote
Lineage: Archaea; Methanobacteriati; Methanobacteriota
Description: partial 16S ribosomal RNA
Rfam family: Archaeal small subunit ribosomal RNA
Source: RNAcentral
CGCGAAACCUUUACAAUGCACGAAAGUGUGAUAAGGCAACUCCUUGUGCUUAUCCAAAAGAUAGGCUUUUUAGUAUGUAAUGUAUACUAAGAAUAAGUGGAUGGGCAAGACCGGGUGGCCAGGCAGCCGCGGUAAAUACCGGCGUCAACAAGUGGAGAUCACGAUUACUGGGUCUAAAAGUGUUCGUAGCUGGUCAUAUAAGUCUCUUGUGAAAGUUCUGUAGCUUAACUCAGAA